RNAcentral lists this long non-coding RNA (1404 nucleotides) under Mus musculus (house mouse). RNAcentral's name for it is "long non-coding RNA chr2:119959388-119960792". Lineage: Eukaryota; Metazoa; Chordata; Mammalia; Rodentia; Muridae. The record is from RNAcentral.
UUGGUGUGGUGGCACAUGCUUUUAAUUCCAGCUUUGACUAGCUAGAUCUUAGAGCCUCACUGGCCAGCCAGCUUAGCCUACUUGGCGAGCUUCAGGGCAGUGAGAAAUCAAGUCAAGAAAAGAAGUUAGUGCUGAGGAAAAGUUUGACUAAGUCUGUGUGCUAUUGUUCCUCAAAGUGUGUAGAACAGUUAAUCAUGUUGUAAAAUGCAUAGCAUAAAAAUAAUUUAGCACCCUCACAUUUUUUUUUUUCAGUAGAGAUGGAACACAAGGUUUCAUGCAUGUGAGGCAAGGACUUUACUACCAAAUAACUAUAUCCAUAAUCUUUAACAUACCUUUAAAAAAAAAGAUUUUAUUGAUUUUAUUUAUACCACAGGUAUACCAUCUCUGUCCUCAGACAUUUAAAUAGAAAGUAAACUACUCAGCUUAGUAGAAGUUUUAAUUUUAACUCUGCACACAGGCUAGGCCAUCAAAGGUAACAUCAUUUCAUUACUUUUAAGUAGACGUUGGGGAUAUACAUCUGGCAUUCAUAUUUCGCUAUUGAAAUAAACAGGUUGUAAACAUUUUAAAAUUUGAUUAAAAUGUAAACAGAACAUGAGUAUUUUAUAUUUUUCCUUGUAGUAGUGGAAAAGCUGUUUAACACUCAUCUUUGGAAAUAAUCAUUCUUUACAUUCCAUAAAAAUAUAAGCUAGAAAACAAUUUAAUAAAUACUGUUGGAUUGGGGAUAUAGCCCAGAGACAGACUCUUGCUUUGCAUGCACAAGGCCCUGAGGUUCUUUGCCAGCACCAGAAUCAGUGGCUCAAUGUAUUAUUCAAUUUCUGAAACAUGAUUAGUUGUUUUAUAAUGUUCUCUAAAAUACUACCUUAAAAUACUUUCAUUAAAGAAAUUGUGUAGGCCCCUGUACUUUUUGGAGUACAGGUGAAUGCUCCAUUGAUAUUACUAUUUUUAUUCUAGGCAUUCAGUGAAAUUCAAGGACUAACAGACCAGGCAGAUAAAUUGAUAGGGCAGAAAAAUCUCCUGAGUCGAAAACGAAGUAUUUUAAUACGGAAGGUAUCGUCUCUUUCAGGUAAGCUCUUUAAGCGUCUCUGAGAAAGAGAGAGCAUAGUGCCAGCAUUAGCACGGACUCCAAGCCUUUCAGAGUCUGUGGAGGUAAAGGAUUGGCAUCUCAGGCUUGCACCAGGGUAACUUUGACUGAGCACAUCAUAUUUUCUGAAUCAUAAUAAUCACAUUUGCCUCUCAGAGUUCUAGGGAAUAUAGUUAAAUCAGUUAGAUAACAGCUGUUUCUCAUUGUUAUAUGGUAUCAUGCACAGAGUGAUGCUUUACUGCCUAUUUACCUUCAGGGAAGACAGAAGAAGUGGUCCUGAAGAAGCUAGAGUAUAUUUAUGCAAAACAACAAGCACUAGAAGC